Molecule: ribosomal RNA, 408 nt
Filed under: Diadumene lineata
Lineage: Eukaryota; Metazoa; Cnidaria; Anthozoa; Actiniaria; Diadumenidae
Description: partial large subunit ribosomal RNA
Rfam family: Bacterial large subunit ribosomal RNA
Source: RNAcentral
CAUCACGAAGGCCCCACUGUCUUAAGAGGACUCUCCAUGAAAUUGAAUUCGUAGUGAAGAUGCUACGUCCAUAUUGUAAGACGAAAAGACCCCAUUGAGCUUUACUAAAGACUUGUAUGGCUCGAAAUGACUUAAAUAAAAAGUUUAGAUAAUGUGGGAUCCGUUUUUGGUUAAUGAAACACCACUCUUUUAUUUUAAGAGAGCUAACCUUGUAGGGAGAAUGCAAGUUGGAUAGUUUGGUUGGGGCGACCACCUUUUAAAAGGUAACGAAGGUGAGCUUAAGGUCCGUAGUUAAUAGCUAGUGGCCUGACUGCAAGGGGGACAUCCCGAGCAGACACUGGUAAUCUCUCAGUGGGUUAUAGUGACCCGUCAUCUUAGAGUGGAAUAGUUGACGAUCAACGAAUAAAA